UUGUAAAUGGAAUUAUUUUCUUAAUUUCCUUUUUGGAUUGUUUAUUGUUAGUUGUAGAAAUGUAACCGAUUUUUGUGUGUUCAUUUUGUAUCCUUCAACUUUGCUGAAUUUAUUAGUUCUAAUUGCCCUGCUUUUAAAAUCAAAUUAAUUCCAACAUUCAAAUCUUAAUUAAAUUCACAUAAAACUCUAGACUUCCUUUUUGUCAUAAAAUAUUGGAAGAUGUGGCACCUCUGAGCUGACAUUCCCACAUGGCACCCACCGCUUGAGGUCUAGUGGCAGCUCCUGCCUUUGGUGGAGGUGACCAUCCUUUAGCACGCUCCAGCCCCACCACCCUUUCUGUCUCUGCUUACCAACCUCAUCCACAAGUUCUGCUCUGGCUGGCCCCUCAUGCAUUCAGCAUUCUUCCUACAGGUACUUACUGAACACCUACUGUGUACCAGGCACUGUUCCAGGCACUGGGAGUACAGUGCUGAACACAACAGACAAAAAUCCCUGCCUUCGCAUAUAUCAUCUCGUUUAAUCCUCGAGACAGCUUCCAUGAGGUAGCCUCAUUAUACAAAUAAGGAAACUAAGAGACAUAGAGAACUUAAGAGACUUGUCCAAGGUUACCCAGCAGGUAAGGGGAUGUCUGGAUUAGAACCUGGGCAGCCUGGCUUUAGAAUUCGAAUUGUCAGCUGCUAUUACUGCCCAUCAGUGGCGGAAGGACCCAGAGGUGAAGACUUGGCAACAGAGGCAGGGUGGCGUGGACAGGGGACAGAUAGGCCUGGCCGGUGGUCAUACAGCCAGGAUCAGGCCUUCUGUGGGCUCCACAGGGUGUGCUCCCAGGGCCGCCCCGCUGGCCUCUGGGCUGAGUUUCCUUGAGGUUGUCUGGAUCCCAGACCCUCUGGCCUUCCCAGCUCAGCAGCUUCAGCCUGGGAGAGCCCGCUUUUCCUCAGCAGACAGCUGAUGAUCGUUGACUGGGCUUGGUGGGAGGUAAGGAGGUAACCAGCAGGUUUUCUUUCUGUGAUGGUAAGAGGCCGCCUUGGAAGCAGACAGCUGAGAAAACACAAAGACCUGGGCUGGCUGGCCCCACCCUUGGUCGAGCCGCUUCUGCCUGUGAAGUGUAAAUGCAGGUGGUGUCAAGCCGGCAGACAGGCCCAGCUCCCUCUUCCCCUUGAGCAGGCAGGGUGACGCCCCCUGCAGCAGGCCCGUGAUUCAGUUGCUCUGGCUGAUGAGGAGCCUGGGCCCGGGAGGAGUGUCGCACAGCCCCAGCCUGGUCCGUCCUCAGCCCUGGAUUGACGUCCAUGCUGUCCUGGGACCGUUUCAGCCGCCUAGUGGGGAGUCUGCUUUCUCCUCCGUCCUGUGUCUUGGGCUCAGGCAUGUGCCUGCUGCCCCUUUGUGGCCACAAGUAUGUAUCGGGCCCAGGGUGGCACUCGGGACCCUCCCCUGUUGGGCUUAGAGACAUGGACGGCCCUUGCUGGCUGGAAGCUGCGGUGAGUGUGUGAAGGGCCCUCAGUCUUCCCUGAGGAAGGCCCUGCCUGCUCUUGGCUCUCACUGCUCCCAGGCCAUCUUCCAUCCGCUUUCCCCAGGUGCCUCCGUUUCUCUCUGACUUCUUGCCUGUUUUCCCUAACUCUGAGAGAUUGCCUGCCUUCAAGUGCAGGAGAAAGCAGACAUCUUCCCUACAAGCCCGAGACCUAGCCCCCAGUAGAGCUGGCCAACCACCUGCCACGGAGCAGGCCACUGGUGCCUUGGCCAGAGUGCUCGUGGUGCCAGUCUGCUGCGUCUCAGUCACAUUCCCCCUGCUUUGCUGCCCUCAAGAAGCCAGAGAUGACCUAGUGUCUGACACCUCUGAACAAAGGGGCCUUUAGAGCCCCUUCCUCAACUCCCUCACCAUCCCCCAUGCUCCCCAGCCUGCCCUGGUUGCGGUUGCGGCCACUUCCUUUUGGGUGCCCCUCUGAGAUUCUGGACAGAGCCCAGGAGCCCCCAGGUUCCCAUUGUGAUGCAAGGACAGAACAGAACCCUGGGCCGCAGGCAGGUGGCUGGUGGGUAUCCCGCCUCCCACCCCCAGCAAACACUGGCAAACCCCACUCUCCCUGCAUCAGGGUCUGAGUGCCUGGCAGGGGCGGCAGUGGAGAUGAUCAAGGUUAGUGCGCCCAGCCCCAUGCUGAGGCAGCAGCCUUUCUGGGGAGGGAGGGGGCGUGGAAGGAGACUUCAACCUUUUGAAGAGGAAGUCAGUUCACUUAUGUCAGGGUAGGGAGAGUAGGAAUUACGUAUUCUUUGAGACUGAAAAAUUACUGGCCGGGCGCAGGGGCUCACAACGGUAAUCCCAGCACUUUGGGAGGCUGAGGCGGGAAGACUGCUUGAGGCCAGGAAUUCAAGGCCAGCUUGGGCAAAAUGGCAAGACCCUUCUAUAC
RNAcentral lists this long non-coding RNA (2393 nucleotides) under Homo sapiens (human). RNAcentral's name for it is "non-protein coding lnc-CNGB1-1:3". The record is from RNAcentral. Lineage: Eukaryota; Metazoa; Chordata; Mammalia; Primates; Hominidae.